AGCGAACGCUGGCGGCAGGCCUAACACAUGCAAGUCGAACGGAUCCUUCGGGAUUAGUGGCGGACGGGUGAGUAACACGUGGGAACGUGCCCUUUGGUUCGGAACAACUCAGGGAAACUUGAGCUAAUACCGGAUGUGCCCUUCGGGGGAAAGAUUUAUCGCCAUUGGAGCGGCCCGCGUCUGAUUAGCUAGUUGGUGAGGUAACGGCCCACCAAGGCGACGAUCAGUAGCUGGUCUGAGAGGAUGAUCAGCCACACUGGGACUGAGACACGGCCCAGACUCCUACGGGAGGCAGCAGUGGGGAAUCUUGCGCAAUGGGCGAAAGCCUGACGCAGCCAUGCCGCGUGAAUGAUGAAGGUCUUAGGAUUGUAAAAUUCUUUCAGCGGGGACGAUAAUGACGGUACCCGCAGAAGAAGCUCCGGCUAACUUCAUG
Molecule: ribosomal RNA, 433 nt
Filed under: uncultured bacterium
Lineage: Bacteria
Description: partial 16S ribosomal RNA
Rfam family: Bacterial small subunit ribosomal RNA
Source: RNAcentral